AUUAAAAAAUAAAGAAAAAGCCCAUUUUGCUCCCAAUGCCAUCUUCUACUUUCUUCCCCUCCCAACAAUGAAAAACCCUCAAAAACCGAAAGGCUGGUGAGGAGGAGGACGACCAUGGUGGCCACUGCAUUGCUGCUUACUUCCUCUUUACUGCUGAUUACGGCCCCGAGCCCAACGCUCUCGAUCCUUUCAUUGAUGCUGAAACAAUGGUUUCUCCAACAAUUUUUGCCCGUCGUAGUUUAUCUUUUCUCAUGAGUGACAAGCCUCAGGAACCUCUCAACGAAGCAAUGCAAGCACAAGUAGUUUCCCCAGUUUGGCACAUUGUAUCUUAUCUUCAGGGUGCUGCCCUUUCGGCCUUCUUGCUUGGAAGGACAGCUUUCUAAUGAUGAUGGUACUGAGUUGGCAUGGUUGGCUACACAAUGUAUACAAUCUGAACCCUGAGAGCGACCAAAUCCAAAGUCAUUAGUUGCUUCUUUGACUCCUCUUCAGAAAGAGACUGAGGUUCCUUCUUUUGUUUUGAUGGGUAUCCCACAUGGUACCUUCUGGUCUUCUCUUUCACAAGUCGGUGAUGCCUGCUCAAGAACGGAUAUGACCGCUAUACAUGAGAUCCUAGAGAAUAUCGGCUAUAAAGACGAUGGAAUGACAAAUGAGUGCUCGUUCAAAUGUGGACUGACCAAAUGCAGGAAUGAUAAGAUUCAAAGAAAAUGGGGGAUUCUGCUUUUAAGCACUAGGACAUCAGAACCACAAUUGAGUGUUAUUCACAGGUUCUUAUUAUGAUACUUGUGGGAAAUUCUGAGUAGAGGUUUGAUAAGAGUUGCGCUCAUACCGAUAUCCGAAUUUGGCCUUCAAGAGGAUGUUCUUUAUCUGACCUGUUAAAAUAAAUUACCAAACACAGCUUCGUACAGAAUUUUUGUUUGGCAUUAGAUUUCCGGUCAGAACACUAUCAUUACAUUUUAUCUUCUGAUUCAUGAUAGGAAGAAUUGAAGAAAUGAAAUUGUUAGUUUAAGGUAUUUUUAAUCAGUCAGGAACGGCGUAUGUUGCGAAAAUUGGUAGUUUAAGGUACCUUAGAGUACCUGAACCUAGUAACUCUACUUGCAUGACCAAUAAAAAGAACAAAACUGAAAGAAAAGAAAAAUUAGUAAAUCCUUUUUAACUGCUGCUUUCUCUGCAUUUGUUAUCGUUGCUAACAGUUCUAUUUCACUUGCAGGUCAUUGGAGUUUGAACAAUGGUUUCUCCAACAAUUUUUGACCGGCGUAGUUUGUCUUAUCUCAUGAGUGACAACCCUCAGGAAGCUAUAAAAGAUGCAAUGCAAGCACGAGUAGUUUCCCCAGUUUGGCACAUUGCAUGUUAGGCUGUUGCCCUUUCGGCCCUUGGAAUGGUACUAUGCUUGAAUCCAAAAUGAGCAAAGCAGCUGGAUAGAAGUGAAACUCUAGGCCGCUCGACCAGGUUCCUAGCUUGCCACUUCUCUCGGUUUGGCUCUCAGCUUAUAUAGCCGUCGAUCGAUCAUAAGGUUUAAAACCACUAGAGCCAAAGCUUCAUCAUUUCCACGAUAAUGGUUCGUGGAAGCUCUUUCAGUGAAGUGAGGCCGUCUACACUGUCUCAGAAGAUGCUGUAGAUAAAAAUAAACAAGCACAUGUAGUUAGGUUUUUAAGAAGACAGUGAAAUUAAUCCGAAUGACUUUACGAAUAGAUGCAUGCUUAUUGCUUAAUUUAAGAAGGACAAAUAAAAUCACAUUUACAUACCAUUGCUUAAUUGAA
Malus domestica (apple) is the source of this 1757-nucleotide non-coding RNA. The record is from RefSeq and is a predicted model, not a curated record. Lineage: Eukaryota; Viridiplantae; Streptophyta; Magnoliopsida; Rosales; Rosaceae.